Phyllostomus hastatus (greater spear-nosed bat) is the source of this 703-nucleotide non-coding RNA. The record is from the annotation of a RefSeq genome assembly. Lineage: Eukaryota; Metazoa; Chordata; Mammalia; Chiroptera; Phyllostomidae.
UUGAGUGAUAACCACCAGGGGGCAAUGCUUCCUUCUGAUGUGGUUCCUGGUUGUGUUCAGGUGGUGCUUUGACUCUGGUGCCUCUGUAGCAACAAAAAAAACUGUUGUGCAGAAAGGGGCUCUAAGUUAUGCGUGAGGAGUGUCUCUAAGGGCCUGCUGGGGACUAGCCUUAUUGCAUUCAGUGUAUUCCAGGGAGCAAGGAUCAUUUUCUUCUGCCAGCAUGCUUUCUGCCACCUGUUCCAUUCUUGUGAUCUUAAUACUCAGAGGGACCAGUGGAGACUCAGUGACCCAGACAGAAGGCCCUGUUACCCGCCUUGAGAGGACAAGUAUUAUCCUGAACUGCAAUUACCAGACCACUGAUUCAAGCCCUUUCCUCUUCUGGUAUGUCCAGUAUCUCAAUAAAGGUCCCCAGCUCCUCCUGAAGAGUUCAACAGACAGCCAGAAGGUAGAGAAUGAAGAGUUUUAUGCCAAGCUUGUGAAGAGUAGCAGCUCCUUCCACCUAGAGAAAUCAUCACUCCAAAUGUCAGACUCGGCGGUGUAUUACUGUGCUAUGAGUGACACAGUGGGGGCGGCUGCAGGGGGAGCUGAGCACAAACCCAGAGGGCUGCAGGCACCAAGUUACAUGCUGCUGAAACGGAAGCCUGGCGGUGCUGGGCCCAGUGAAGGCCUCGGACGAGCCACCACUGCUGCCACAGUGGAAUGA